Long non-coding RNA from Frieseomelitta varia, 123 nucleotides. RefSeq lists it as uncharacterized. Lineage: Eukaryota; Metazoa; Arthropoda; Insecta; Hymenoptera; Apidae. The record is from RefSeq and is a predicted model, not a curated record. The transcript is spliced from 3 exons.
GUCCCGCUCUACACGCCGGAGAUAUCGGAGAAAUGGAAAUAAAAUACAGGCGAAAUUAAUCGUCGGACUCUCCUAUAGAUUAAAAAUCGAGAUCAAUUCUAUCCGGAUAGCACACGUAUGAAC